Molecule: RNA transcript, 1433 nt
Organism: Neopsephotus bourkii (Bourke's parrot)
Lineage: Eukaryota; Metazoa; Chordata; Aves; Psittaciformes; Psittacidae
Gene: UBE2G1
Gene name: ubiquitin conjugating enzyme E2 G1
Exons: 7
Source: RefSeq, a predicted model, not a curated record
CCUGCGUGCCGCGGCCCGGAGUGCAGUGAAAUUCCUGGCGGGCGGGGGGAGGAGGAGGUGGUGGUGCUGAGGAGGAGGAGAAGAAGAAGGGAGGCUGGGAGCCACGGCCGCGCGCCCCUGCCAGGGACCCUGCGUGCUGUGGCAGCGGCCGGCACGGAGCCAGACCCCCGGGGGGCGCGGCGCGGUGCGGACGGGCUGAGGGCCACUCGCCGCCGCCUCGGGCUCUCGCAGCACCAAGAGCCGCGCCGUCCCCGCCGCAGCUGGGACUCCCUCCCCGGGCAGAGAGGGGGAGAAUGACGGAGCUCCAGUCCGCCUUGCUACUGCGGAGACAACUAGCAGAGCUCAACAAAAAUCCAGUGGAAGGCUUUUCAGCAGGCUUAAUAGAUGACAAUGAUCUUUAUCGAUGGGAAGUCCUUAUUAUUGGUCCUCCAGAUACACUAUAUGAAGGUGGUGUUUUCAAGGCUCAUCUUACUUUUCCAAAAGACUAUCCACUGAGGCCGCCAAAAAUGAAAUUCAUCACGGAAAUCUGGCAUCCAAAUGUUGACAAGAACGGUGAUGUCUGCAUUUCAAUUCUUCAUGAGCCUGGAGAAGACAAAUAUGGAUAUGAAAAACCUGAGGAACGCUGGCUUCCCAUUCACACAGUGGAAACUAUAAUGAUUAGUGUUAUUUCUAUGCUGGCAGAUCCCAAUGGCGAUUCUCCUGCUAAUGUUGAUGCAGCGAAAGAAUGGAGAGAAGACAGAAAUGGAGAAUUUAAAAGGAAAGUUGCCCGCUGUGUAAGAAAAAGCCAAGAAACUGCUUUUGAGUGACACUUAUUCAGCAGCUAGUAGCUUCACUUUUUUCAGGGCAAAAAACCCCCCAAACCUCUCUCCUCAGUCGCAUGAUCUCAGUGGACUUCUUUGGCUGUCUCCAAUUGAGAAACAUGGCACUGUUUUUUUUUCCUGCACUCUACCCACCUAUUGCUGGACUUCUGUUGUUACAAGUUGGCAAACACUGGCUGGAACUGGGCUGCAAUAAAACAUGCCAGUUAUCAAUGCUGACAAGAGCCUAACAAGUGCCAACACAAGAUGAUUACACAUUUUGAAAUCUAACGAACUGCUUUAACCUUCAGGAAGAAUUGUAAAGAUGUGUACAUAGCACAACAUGAUCCGGAUAAUAUAUAUACUGUUCAUGUACAUCCACAAAUACACAUUGUACCAAAUAAUGCUGUCUGUAGUUAGGAAUAGAUUCGUGUAAAUUCUAAAGAUUUUAGCAGGUUUUUCUCUCCCUAUUCAUUGUUUCCUCUCAGUUUAAAAGACAAACCAACAACACCUUGUGAAGCAUGUCAGACUAAAACUGAUUAGGACAAAGUUGGGGUUUUGUGUUGUUUUUUUUCUCCUCUGCUUUAAUUUUCCUUUGACCCACUGAGGCUUAAUUAAAAUCUCUUGCUUAUUCAA